AUACGGAGGAUCCGGGCGUUAUCCGGAUUUAUUGGGUUUAAAGGGUGCGCAGGCGGCCAUUUAAGUCAGCGGUUAAAUCGUGGGGCUCAACCCCAUUCUGCCGUUGAUACUGGGUGGCUUGAUUGCGGUCGAGGUUGGCGGAAUUCGUUGUGUAGCGGGGAAAUGCAUAGAUAUGACGAAGAACACCGAUUGCGUAGGCAGCUGACCAGACCGCAAAUGACGCUCAUGCACGAAAGUGCGGGGAUCGAACAGGAUUAGAUACCCUGGUAGUCCGCACAGUAAACGAUGAAUACUUGUUUUCGGCGAUAUAAUGUCGGAGGCAAAGCGAAAGCGAUAAGUAUUCCACCUGGGGAGUACGCCGGCAACGGUGAAACUCAAAUGAAUUGGCGGGG
This 392-nucleotide ribosomal RNA is filed under the name uncultured bacterium. RNAcentral's name for it is "partial 16S ribosomal RNA". It matches the Rfam family "Bacterial small subunit ribosomal RNA", at positions 523 to 918 of the family's 1533-position model. The record is from RNAcentral.